This 336-nucleotide long non-coding RNA is filed under the name Hordeum vulgare. RNAcentral's name for it is "long non-coding RNA (HVUL_LNC013587)". Lineage: Eukaryota; Viridiplantae; Streptophyta; Magnoliopsida; Poales; Poaceae. The record is from RNAcentral.
UUUCAAACCAGAAUUUGGUCUACACACAAAAGGAACAAAGAAGACGCAUCAAAAUGCGAAUAAAUGUGUGGAUGUUUUCCGCCUUCUAUUUGUUUAAUCUUUGUGGCACUAUUCAUCCCGUCAAAAGAAAGAAGAACUUCAUUUCUUCACGAAAUCUCACGUCGAGCAAUCUAAUUUCUUUUAGAAAAUAUCUCAGGACCAAACAUGAUUGUCGAUUGUCGAUUGCCGAUGAUGAGGAUAGUGGGCUCGUGGCGAUCCAAAUCGGUUAGUCCAUCCAAACCCACCAUGAUGUUAGCCCAGCCCAAUCAACGAUGGUUGAUCCAUCGCCACUGAGAG